UGAGGAAUAUUGGUCAAUGGACGAAAGUCUGAACCAGCCAUGCCGCGUGGAGGAUGAAGGCCCUCUGGGUCGUAAACUUCUUUUAUCAGGGAAGAAAAGUACUAUUUCUAUGGUAUCCGACGGUACCUGAUGAAUAAGCACCGGCUAACUCCGUGCCAGCAGCCGCGGUAAUACGGAGGGUGCAAGCGUUAUCCGGAUUUACUGGGUUUAAAGGGUGUGUAGGCGGACUGGAAAGUCAGAGGUGAAAUCUCCGAGCUUAACUCGGAAACUGCCCCUGAUACUAUUAGUCUUGAAUAUCGUUGAGGUAGGCGGAAUACAACAUGUAGCGGUGAAAUGCUUAGAUAUGUUGUAGAACACCGAUUGCGAAGGCAGCUUACUAAACGAUUAUUGACGCUGAGGC
This 400-nucleotide ribosomal RNA is filed under the name uncultured bacterium. RNAcentral's name for it is "bacterial SSU rRNA". It matches the Rfam family "Bacterial small subunit ribosomal RNA", at positions 355 to 752 of the family's 1533-position model. The record is from RNAcentral.